This 371-nucleotide ribosomal RNA is filed under the name uncultured bacterium. Its description in RNAcentral is "bacterial SSU rRNA". It matches the Rfam family "Bacterial small subunit ribosomal RNA", at positions 32 to 381 of the family's 1533-position model. The record is from RNAcentral.
AAUCAACGCUGGCGGCGUGCCUCAGACAUGCAAGUCGAACGCGAAAGGCCCCUUCGGGGGCCCGGUAGAGUGGCGCACGGGUGAGUAACACGUAGGUAAUUUGCCUUCGGGUGGGGAAGUAACAGCCGGAAACGGCUNCUAAUACCGCAUAAUGCAGCGGCUCGACAUCGAGACAGUUGUUAAAGCGGGGGAUCGCAAGACCUCGCGCCUGAAGAGAAGCCUGCGGCAGAUAGUCUUGUUGGUGAGGUAAUGGCUCACCAAGGCGACGAUCUGUAACCGGCCUGAGAGGGCGGUCGGUCACACUGACACUGACAUACGGGUCAGACUCCUACGGGAGGCAGCAGUCGGGAAUUUUGGGCAAUGGGCGAAAG